GGAUGUGAAGGCGAUCUGGCUGUGACAUUUGUCACCCCAUUGAUCAUCAGGGUUGAUUUGGCUGACGUAGCUGGCUAGGUGUGUGUCCCCUUCCUCCCUCACUGCUCCAUGUGUGUUCUUCCUGAAGCUGCAUGCUUGGCAGAAGAGGACAACCAUCCUUGAUAGAGGAAGAUGCGUCUUCUGUCAAGGGUAUACGAGUAGCUGUGCUCCCCUGCUAGAAUCUCCAAACAAGCUCUCAAGGUCUAUUGUAGGAGGACGUGGUAAUAAGGCUUCCCAAGCUCCAAGACACAUCCAAGUGCGCACUGGAUGGAGGCAGCAGUCCUACCUU
This 328-nucleotide small nuclear RNA is filed under the name Pan paniscus (pygmy chimpanzee). RNAcentral's name for it is "7SK RNA (ENSPPAG00000004258.1)". It matches the Rfam family "7SK RNA". Rfam says of the family: 7SK was discovered as an abundant small nuclear RNA in the mid-70s but a possible function has only recently been suggested. Two independent studies have found that 7SK RNA binds the CDK9/cyclin T complex (known as elongation factor P-TEFb). Lineage: Eukaryota; Metazoa; Chordata; Mammalia; Primates; Hominidae. The record is from Rfam by way of RNAcentral.